UGGAAACAUUUGAUCGUACCAUGUUUCAGUUUCAAUCAUGGUACGAUUGAUGUUGCCUUA
This 60-nucleotide microRNA precursor is filed under the name Tribolium castaneum (red flour beetle). RNAcentral describes it as "microRNA tca-mir-11642 precursor". Lineage: Eukaryota; Metazoa; Arthropoda; Insecta; Coleoptera; Tenebrionidae. The record is from miRBase by way of RNAcentral.